Molecule: ribosomal RNA, 253 nt
Filed under: uncultured bacterium
Lineage: Bacteria
Description: partial 16S ribosomal RNA
Rfam family: Bacterial small subunit ribosomal RNA
Source: RNAcentral
UACGUAGGGUGCAAGCGUUGUCCGGAAUUAUUGGGCGUAAAGGGCUCGUAGGCGGUUUGUCGCGUCGGGAGUGAAAACUCAGGGCUUAACCCUGAGCCUGCUUCCGAUACGGGCAGACUAGAGGUAUGCAGGGGAGAAUGGAACUCCUGGUGUAGCGGUGAAAUGCGCAGAUAUCAGGAGGAACACCGGUGGCGAAGGCGGUUCUCUGGGCAUUACCUGACGCUGAGGAGCGAAAGUGUGGGGAGCGAACAGG